Molecule: ribosomal RNA, 245 nt
Filed under: Agaricales sp.
Lineage: Eukaryota; Fungi; Basidiomycota; Agaricomycetes; Agaricales
Description: partial 28S ribosomal RNA
Rfam family: Eukaryotic large subunit ribosomal RNA
Source: RNAcentral
AGAGCUCAAAUUUAAAAUCUGGCGGUUAUGCCGUCCGAGUUGUAAUUUAGAGAAGUGUUAUCCGCGCUGGACCGUGUACAAGUCUCCUGGAAUGGAGCGUCAUAGAGGGUGAGAAUCCCGUCUUUGACACGGACUGCCAGGGCAUUGUGAUGCGCUCUCGAAGAGUCGAGUUGUUUGGGAAUGCAGCUCAAAAUGGGUGGUAAAUUCCAUCUAAAGCUAAAUAUUGGGGAGANACCNAUAGCGAA